AGUAACAAUCAGCAGGCACUGGAAGAGUUAAACACUUUCCUUCCAGUUGCUGAUUCUCCACUGCAAAUAAUUCCACUUGGAGAUCUGUAGACAAAAGAAAAGAUGGAACAGGAACUGUCAAAUCUACAGAUGGAGAACUGCCCAGUGAAGGUGUCCCCCGUCGAACAUCAGAUAGCAAGGACCUCCUGGAGACAAAUGCAUUGCCAGAGUAAACAUGGGGACAGACUUCACAUCCGGGCUGAUCUCUGUGUUGAUAUCUCUGUUACAUAGCCUUUUGUUGCUGGUGAUGAAUAACAAAACCACCAGAGUCCCACAGAGCCUUCUGGAUUUGCCUAUUAACUAUUUUUGCGGGGAGCCAAGCCACUGUACUGAGGCCCAUUGACUAAGCCCAGCUGUGUACUGAAAUGAGACUUCGCCGCCCUCGGCCUGCCCAGAAUACCAUACUAAGGCCACAAAGGAGGAUGUGCGCCCGCUCCACUCCGCUCCCUUUCAGCGGCCUGUCAAAACAAACAACAGCAACUUAGAACAAGAACGGUAACAAUUCAAUAGUUGGCUUUCUGGAUCCCUGUAAGUGGUCUAAUAUAGGCUUUGUA
Long non-coding RNA from Rhineura floridana, 593 nucleotides. RefSeq lists it as uncharacterized. The transcript is spliced from 4 exons. Lineage: Eukaryota; Metazoa; Chordata; Lepidosauria; Squamata; Rhineuridae. The record is from RefSeq and is a predicted model, not a curated record.